AAUCUACCAGUUUUCUCGCUACAAGUGUUUAAAUGACAUCACCCUUUUUAAAAAUUAGAAAUUUAAGCUGAUUCAUUUAACCUGCACUUAGUAGGUACAACUAACUAGAUAAUUAUAUACACUCUUUAACUGCCUAGUUAACAGCCCUUGACUUCCAAAACGGAUUGUUUAUCUUAAUAUAUAAACAUUGCCGUUAUGCUGAACGACUGUGGCGACAUUUUCGUAUCGCAAACUGGGCUGUACUAAAGCAGAAGCUGAAACCCAUUCAUGAAGACUGCUUUGAAGCCGUUAAACUGCAAGCAGUUCCAUUUUAUUUAUGUGACUGUCCUGAAUGUCCUGAAUAAACUCACCGCCAUCUACGACCUGACAUAAGGCCGAUCCAAGGCUUGAGUUAUCUGGACCAGAAACCCCGCUGUGAAGUAUAGAUUAUAUGACAGUCUUUUAUCUCAUUGCAGAUCGGUGUCCAUUACAAGUUUUAUUAAUCUUCUAAACCGCCUCUAACAUGAUGUCCACUACAGUUGUGUUUUGGACGAUACUAGGGACGGUUGCGGGCAUUGGCUGUGUUCUUGUGUUGGUCGCUUACCUAGUAUGGAGGUUUUACUUACAUCCUAAAAGUAAAGUAGUCGAUUCCACGGAUGAUUUCUACGAGGAGAUAACGGAGACCGAAAUAAAAACAGUGACGUCUCAUCCCCAAGAUGGCGCUACUGUGGUAACACAGAAUGUUCGCACUCGGACGCGAAGUUCCAGACCACGUGCUCGCCGAGAAAGCAAAGAUCUCGAUACGGUGCCCCAACAAAAGGACGGUGAAUGUUCACCGAGUCUUAUCGGAGAUUCCUCUACGCUUCUUGGGACUUGGAAUGUGCCUUCUUUAAUGAAUAACUGGAGGGAAGGCGAGGAAGAUUUCGUUAAGAUGAUGUCAAAAUCUAAUUUCAGGCAACUGCCGUGGAAGGUACCAUAUUCUAGAACAACCGCGCGGCAUUUACCAACCAAGCCGCUGCCAAGUUCAACUGACGACAAAAUCGAAGUAAUCGAGUUGUCGUGACAGGUAAAUGAGACUAGUAAAGCUUAAUAUAAGUGACCACUGAGGUAUGUCGACAGGAAAUGAGAUUUUCACUGUCGACAGGUACGAGUGUUUCACCGUAACGACCGGGUGGCGAAACGUUAAAUCACUUUGACAAUUCGUGCAAGGACGUACAACUACAGUCAGAUCUGUUAGUAAACAUUCAGCUUCGUAUUGUCCCGUUAUUUGUGUUUAUAAAAUGGAAGUCUUCAAGACAAAGAUAUGCGCCUAUAUCUAACUUAUUAGUACAGUUAUUUAAAGUUCAAUUUUUUGCCAUUAUUGAGUUCAGUAAGGCGUCCAAUAACAUAGAAAAGCGGACCGUGGGCUUGUCACGAAAUUCAAAUAUCUAUUUGUUAACAUUAAUAAUUAAUUUGUGUUUUUCGUUCUAUUUAACAACCAUUUACUUAUAUGAUGGUGAAUGGUUUUAUAGGUGUAGGGGAUAAAACAAAGACCUUUAUCAUGUUAUUGACGAAGUAUCCCAAGUGUAACGUACGGAAUUGUAUGCCAUAUUGAUGACAGAUAUGUGACUUUCAACAAAGAUUUCUGCAAAAUCCCAGGAGCGCCGUCGACUGCUUAUUGUCACUUAUGAAAAGAGUGAAUCAAAAAAAUGGACUGAACCCGAAUUUCUCGUCCGGUUGGGAUUAACUGAAGUAUCAGUAUUUAUGUCUUUGUCUUGUAUACAGGAAUGCUUUUACUCAUAUAUAUAUCAUCUUAAUAUCAUUGUCAGGAAUAUGGACUGGUCUCAACACAACCAACAAUACAAUAUAGGCUCUUGUUUACAGAAGUUUUAUUGGUAUUUAUGAUAUUUGU
This is a long non-coding RNA of Liolophura sinensis, 1870 nucleotides long. RefSeq lists it as uncharacterized. The transcript has 3 exons. NCBI's taxonomy places the organism in Eukaryota, Metazoa, Mollusca, Polyplacophora, Chitonida, Chitonidae. The record is from RefSeq and is a predicted model, not a curated record.